CCAGAAGGUAUCCUUCUGGCAAGGGUACUGUACUAAACUAACUAAAGUGGGGGAUAGUGAGGGGAUAAAUUUUCUUAAGGAACUCGGCAAAAUCCCAAUGGCCCACCAGGGCAUAUUGGAACACGGGCCUCGACUGUUUACCAAAAACAUAGCCCUCGGCUAAUAUGAAAAUAGAUGUAUAGAGGGUGAUGCCUGCCCAAUGGUUGUAUCUAAAAGCGGUUGAUAAAAGUUGACCUCGUAAGGACAAUUGAAUGGCCGCGGUAACACUGACCGUGAUAAUGUAGCGUAAUCAAUAGCCAAUUAAUUGUUGGCCAGUAUGAAUGGCGCCACGAAGGCCCCACUGUCUUAAGGAAAUUCCCAGUGAAAUUGAAUUCGUAGUGAAGAUGCUACGUCCAAUUUGUUAGACGAAAAGACCCCGUUGAGCUUUACUGGAGCACUUACAUGGCCCCGGCCUUCCCAUGCCUGGGAACCGGCCGAAUUUAAAUGGGCGGCUUAGAUUAUGUGGCAGCCCCCCGCUGGGGCAAAUGAAACACCACUCCCCCAUGUCAAAGGGGCUAACCCCCCCCCCUUGGGGGGAC
Molecule: ribosomal RNA, 578 nt
Filed under: Zoanthus sansibaricus
Lineage: Eukaryota; Metazoa; Cnidaria; Anthozoa; Zoantharia; Zoanthidae
Description: partial large subunit ribosomal RNA
Rfam family: Bacterial large subunit ribosomal RNA
Source: RNAcentral